Non-coding RNA from Monodelphis domestica (gray short-tailed opossum), 292 nucleotides. NCBI's taxonomy places the organism in Eukaryota, Metazoa, Chordata, Mammalia, Didelphimorphia, Didelphidae. The record is from Ensembl.
GGUCAGUGAUGAGAAGUAAAAGGUCUGACUGCACUGAGAAAUCAUGGUCCCUCUUACAGCCUUCACAACUCCCAGCAGCCCACCCAUCCUUUUGUACCCAGGCAAGCAUAAGGCAUGUUGUCCUUGGGAUGGUGGAGCAGCUGACAGUUUGGGAUGUGUCCAGUGUGUGCUUCCAAGAGGACAGAGGAAGGACAUGCUGGGCUGGUAUCCAACAGAACCUGUCCCAAGGAGUUGGGAGUGGAGUGCAGUAGGGACAUGGUAGUGCCUGAUCUCAAGUUUUCAAGCUGAGACC